This 653-nucleotide long non-coding RNA is filed under the name Zostera marina. Its description in RNAcentral is "long non-coding RNA (ZMAR_LNC001627)". Lineage: Eukaryota; Viridiplantae; Streptophyta; Magnoliopsida; Alismatales; Zosteraceae. The record is from RNAcentral.
GGCUAACAAAUCCUUCACGUCUGGAUCUCAUCAAAUGAAGAGACCGUCGAUGAUUCCGGAUAUGCAUCGAUGCCAGGUUAUUGAAUGGAUCUAAUGAUUCCGGAUAUGCAUCAAUGCCAGCUGGUUGUUGAAUGAAUCUGGGUUUCACUCGAUGGGGUCAAAAGCUACCUGCUUUGGAGUGCCCAGAUGUAGAAUCUGCUGCGUCUAUAUCGCUUUCUAGAUAUUAUGAACCCUUAUCAAGUUAUCCGGAAGAAAAAAAAUCGCUAAUGAGUAUGAACUAUGGAUGCAGAAGAACAGGAUGGUUCAUGAGUGGAUGCAGUCUGUAGUAGGAGCAAAAAUUUUCUCUCCAGUCAUGAAUCAUGCCACAACGGUAGCCUAUUGGGCAACGCUUGAAACACAUCUUUCCCUCCGCAAGGAAGACGAUUCACUCUAUUACUUCAGGGAACAACUUCGUGAAUUGAAGAAUUUGUAAACAUAGUCAAAGCCCUCACCGAUAGCUUCUCCGCAACCGACGAGAAACUCAUUGAUCAUGAUAAGAUUGAUUUCGUGACAGUUGGAUUAAAACCAGAGUAUCGUCCAUUUUUAUCUUCUUUGUACAGUCAACCAAUAUGAUUUUUGAUAAAAAGAAAAAUUCUUCCAGCUGACCGGUAUAU